RNAcentral lists this ribosomal RNA (504 nucleotides) under uncultured bacterium. Its description in RNAcentral is "partial 16S ribosomal RNA". It matches the Rfam family "Bacterial small subunit ribosomal RNA", at positions 28 to 506 of the family's 1533-position model. The record is from RNAcentral.
GACGAACGCUGGCGGCGUGCCUAAUACAUGCAAGUAGAACGCACAGUUUAUACCGUAGCUUGCUACACCAUAAACUGUGAGUUGCGAACGGGUGAGUAACGCGUAGGUAACCUGCCUGGUAGCGGGGGAUAACUAUUGGAAACGAUAGCUAAUACCGCAUAAUAUUGAUUAUUGCAUGAUAAUUGAUUGAAAGAUGCUAUUGCAUCACUACCAGAUGGACCUGCGUUGUAUUAGCUAGUAGGUGAGGUAACGGCUCACCUAGGCGACGAUACAUAGCCGACCUGAGAGGGUGAUCGGCCACACUGGGACUGAGACACGGCCCAGACUCCUACGGGAGGCAGCAGUAGGGAAUCUUCGGCAAAGGACGAAAGUCUGACCGAGCAACGCCGCGUGAGUGAAGAAGGUUUUCGGAUCGUAAAGCUCUGUUGUAAGAGAAGAACGGGUGUGAGAGUGGAAAGUUCACACUGUGACGGUAUCUUACCAGAAAGGGACGGCUAACUACGU